RNAcentral lists this ribosomal RNA (305 nucleotides) under uncultured bacterium. RNAcentral describes it as "bacterial SSU rRNA". It matches the Rfam family "Bacterial small subunit ribosomal RNA", at positions 337 to 659 of the family's 1533-position model. The record is from RNAcentral.
CUCUACGGGACGCAGCAGUGGGGAAUAUUGCACAAUGGGGGAAACCCUGAUGCAGCGACGCCGCGUGAGUGAAGAAGUAUUUCGGUAUGUAAAGCUCUGUCAGCAGGGAAGAAAAUGACGGUACCUGACCAAGAAGCCCCGGCUAACUACGUGCCAGCAGCCGCGGUAAUACGUAGGGGGCAAGCGUUAUCCGGAUUUACUGGGUGUAAAGGGAGCGUAGACGGCAGCGCAAGUCUGGAGUGAAAUGCCGGGGCCCAACCCCGGAACUGCUUUGGAAACUGUGCGGCUCGAGUGCGGGAGAGGGG